CAUUUCGGCCAUGCUACAGUGGUUCCCCCAUCUCAGCGCCGCCAUCUAGUGGUUCACCACGUCGAGGAGCAUCCAGCACGCCCUUCCCUACUCCUCGAAUCGCCCUGCAUCAUCGAGCCCAUGCUCGAGUGAGACGACCUCUGUUUCCCUAAAACUCCUCAUCCUUUCCGUCCGUCAUCUUCAUAACGCGACCCUUAUCUGUCUUCUUCUUUUGCGCCUGUACCUUGUCUACAACACGCAGUAAGCCAAGUGGUUCUGUUCCUUGCUGAUCCAUUAGCGUGUCCUUGGUCUACAGCAAAAACGACGCGCGCUUGCAUUCAUCGAUAUCCAAGUAGCAGUACAGUUGGUUCGUUCCUUCGUCGUGCUGUAACUGAACGUGAGGUUGAGUUCACGUUCAGGCUUAAGAAAAGGUUGAGUUCACGUGAGCCACCCUUUUAUUCUUUUCAUCCUCUGACUUGUGUGGUUCCUUUUUCAAACUUCAGUGACAACCAAACCAGGCGCUACACUCCCAUCGACCAAGUCUUUCCGAUCUGUCCGACCGUGUUGCCGCACAAGAUCUUUUUCCUGGCGUACACUACUUCGACUAUGGAACGUCAAGAGGGUGGAGACUUGACUACUUCCGCGACCAGCGCUUCUCUCUGUGUUCGCCACAUUUUCAACGCUCCAACUUUGUUCAGUUUCGUCAGUUUUGAUACACCGUCCAGAAACGAGCUUCAGAGUGCUGCGCGUGUCUCCAUCUGUUUCAAUAUCUGGGUGGUAGCCCAUCUGAUCCCAUGCUUGGAGAUAGUUCAGUGUACACGUGAGCCAAUCUAAAUCAGCUUCAGCAAAGCAACCCAGUGGCUAUAGCCUUCAUCUCUUUCACGGUGGUAUCAGGAUCAACUACCAGAGUGUGUU
Molecule: long non-coding RNA, 894 nt
Organism: Lolium rigidum
Lineage: Eukaryota; Viridiplantae; Streptophyta; Magnoliopsida; Poales; Poaceae
Exons: 3
Source: RefSeq, a predicted model, not a curated record